UAUUAUUGACAAGUGAACAUCGGAACUUUUUAACAGGGAAACUGGAAAAAGAAAGUGUCUUCCACAGAUAAACAGCCAACUUCUCCUCAGCCUCACCCAAGCUCCUGCAUCUACUGUCACCGUCCCUCUCCUUUCCUCUCCCCCGAAUUUCUUUUCCAAAUUCACUAAUCAGUCAUUUAAGUAUCAAAAGAUUCAUUGUGAGUGAGAGAGAGGAAUAAUCAUGAGCAUAACGCGGGGCACGCAAACGCCCUCACUCGCCUUUCGGGUGAUGAGGUUAUGCAGGCCUUCAUUUCACGUGGACGCUCCGGUCCGUUUAGACCCCUCCGAUCUUAUCAUCGGUGAGGACAUCUUCAACGAUCCAAUUGCCGCUUCACGGCUUCCUCCUCUCAUCUACGCCCAUGCCACCAAGCUCACCGAUUCAUCCGCUCUACCACAUUCCUCCUCCAACACCCUUCCGAUUCAUUUGGCCUCACUGGUCUCCUCGUCCUACCUCAAGUCCUUGGAUAUUGCAUCAUAUCAUGUUCUCUCCCUUAUUAUUAUUAUUUUUUUUGUUUAAUUUGAAUGAUUUUUCUUUUUCAGGGCUAUAUAUUUGGGGGGGACCUUUUGCAGCCAGCAAUAUAAGCAUCAAUAACAGUUCUAAUUUUUGAAGUUAGGGAUGUUAUGUUUAAGAAAUUCAAACAGAAAGGCAGAGGAUCCUUCCAUUGGACACAUCAAAAACCCCUGUUGAGUCUAUACGAGCUGGAGAGCGUUAUCAUUUCAUUGUGGAACAUGAUGUGGAGGAACUUGGAGCCCAUACAACUUGAUUGCUACGAUACAUGGAGGACAGAAAAUAACAGGUUUUACAGUGUUUGACAAAUCAGGGAAGAAAACCCAUGAUCUCAUUGCCUGAUUUAGAGGUUAGUUCUCUACAAUAGUCUGCAGUGGUUUGGAAAUCACUAGCAUUUUUUAUUGCCAUAUGGUGAUGCUCUUUAAUUUUGUUUUUUCUGGCUUUCCACAUUUGGAAUUUAUGAAGCUUCAACUCAGCUGAUUGCUUGGGAAGUUGUCUCUUGAAUCUUUCUAAAUUAAGGAACAGUAGCAUGCAAAUUAAUGGGUUUCUAAAUUCCGAACUAGUAAAUGGUGACCUUGUAUGACUAGAGAAUCCAUUUCAAAUUUAGGUGGAGAGAGUCCAGCCUUGGUGCAUAAUAUAAUCUUUGCAUUUUCAGCGUUCCUGUUCUCAUGUAACUUCAAAUGAUGCAGAUUUUUGUGGACUUGGAUUGAUUUUUUGGUUAGUACUGAACAGUUUGGCCCUCGGAGGACUUCUCCGUCCAUCCACAGAAAGGUGUUGAUGUGCGGAAGUGUCAUCUUGGUUAGUUGGACUUCUGCCCUGGUCCUUUUUAAUUGGUGGAAAUACUGAAUAUUUUUUUUUUUCCCUCAGACUCUUGUAACUCUUAUUAGAUUUCUAAUUCAAGCGAAUUGAAAUGGAUAUAGGCUGAUUUUGAUAGAUAUAAUUCUGUACUUGUACGCCAACUUUUCAUUUUAUUCAAGGAGUAGGAAUUCUAUCGUGAUAUCGAUA
RNA transcript from Hevea brasiliensis (rubber tree), 1552 nucleotides. RefSeq lists it as uncharacterized. The transcript is spliced from 3 exons. The record is from RefSeq and is a predicted model, not a curated record. NCBI's taxonomy places the organism in Eukaryota, Viridiplantae, Streptophyta, Magnoliopsida, Malpighiales, Euphorbiaceae.